Molecule: ribosomal RNA, 1550 nt
Filed under: Minisyncoccota bacterium
Lineage: Bacteria; Bacillati; Minisyncoccota
Description: bacterial SSU rRNA
Rfam family: Bacterial small subunit ribosomal RNA
Source: RNAcentral
UUUAAUUAGAGUUUGAUCCUAGCUCAGGAUGAACGCUGGCGGCGUGGAUAAGGCAUGCAAGUCGAACGAACUAGUCCCUGGAAGUAUUUGAGUGAGUAGCAAUACAAACAAUUAUAUGGAAAGGGUUCACUAGUUAGUGGCGAACGAGGUAGUAACACGUGGGUACGUCCCCCAAAGUCGUGAACAACACACCGAAAGGUGUGCUAAUACACGAUGGUCCCUCCGGGGUAAAGUUUUAACGCUUUGGGAACGGCCUGCGGGAUAUCAGCUAGUUGGUAGUGUAAUGGACUACCAAGGCUAUGACGUCUAGGGGAGCUGAGAGGCUGACCCCCACCGAUGGGACUGAGACACGGCCCAUACUCCUACGGGAGGCUGCAGUCGAGAAUCUUCCACAAUGGACGAAAGUCUGAUGGAGCGACGCCGCGUGAUUGAUGAAGUCCCUCUGGGACGUAAAGAUCUUUUAUGAGGGAAAAAGUUUAUUGAUUGUACCUCAUGAAUAAGGGGCUCCUAAUCUCGUGCCAGCAGGAGCGGUAAUACGAGAGCCCCAAGCGUUAUCCGGAAUUAUUGGGCGUAAAGGGUGUGUAGGUGGUUGUAUUAGUCUUUCGUUAAAACUCCCGGCUUAACUGGGAAUCUGCGAAGGAAACGGUACGACUAGAGAAUACGAGGGGUGCAUGGAACUCAAGGUGUAGGGGUGAAAUCCGUUGAUAUCUUGGGGAACACCAAAAGCGAAGGCAAUGCACUGGCGUACUUCUGACACUCAAGCACGAAAGCGUGGGUAGCGAAUGGGAUUAGAUACCCCAGUAGUCCACGCCCUAAACGAUCUUUUCUCGCUAUUCGGAGUAUCGACCCUCUGAGUGGCUAAGCUAACGCGUUAAGAAAAGCGCCUGGGAAGUACGGCCGCAAGGCUAAAACUCAAAGGAAUAGACGGGGACUCGCACAAGCAGUGGAUUAUGUGGUUUAAUUCGAUGGUAAACGAAGAACCUCACCAGGGUUUGACACCUACGUGAAAGCUCUAAGAAACUAGAGCCCUCGCAAGACUAGUAGGCAGGUGUUGCAUGGCCGUCGUCAGUUCGUGGUUUGAAUUGUUCCCUUAAGUGGGGUAACGAACGCAACCCUCGUCGUGUGUUAUAUUUGUCACACGAGACCGCCCAGAACUUUGUUCAUGAAAAUAUUUCGUGCAUAAAGUUCUGGGAGGAAGGAGAGGAUGACGCCAGGUCAGCAUGACCCUUUGAUAUCCUGGGCUACACACAUAAUACAAUGACGGCUACAACGCGUCGCGACGGGGUAACCCUGAGCCAAUCGUUAUAAAAGCCGCCUCAGUUCGGAUAGAGGUCUGCAACUCGACCUCUUGAAGUUGGAAUUGCUAGUAAUCGCAGGUCAGACAUACUGCGGUGAAUACGUUCUCGAGUCUUGUACUCACCGCCCGUCAAGUCAAGGGAGCUGGUGGUACCCGAAAUCUCUCCAUUGGAGGGCCUAAGGUAAAAUCAGUGACAGGGACUAAGUCGUAACAAGGCACGGCUAGCGGAAGCUGGUCGUGGAAUAAUUCAAUU